GUAGAAGCCCUUCCACAUCUUUCUAGAAUGUCUAUAAACCUAAUUAAAUAAACAAAAUCCACAGACCAGUAAAGCCUGCCUUUACUCUCUUGCCAUGUCCCCAUGGUGGUCUAGGUAAUUGCCUGGGGCCAGGCAAUUACCUAGACCACCAUGGGGACAUGGCAAGAGAGUAAAGGCAGGCUUUACUGGUCUGUGGAUUUUGUUUAUUUAAUUAGGUUUAUAGACAUUCUAGAAAGAUGUGGAAGGGCUUCUACU
This 255-nucleotide microRNA precursor is filed under the name Marmota monax (woodchuck). Lineage: Eukaryota; Metazoa; Chordata; Mammalia; Rodentia; Sciuridae. The record is from RNAcentral.